GAGACACUAGUAAAAUAGCUAAUUACACUGCCUUGUCAAGGCAGAAUCGCGGGUUGGACUCCCGUGUGUCUUA
RNAcentral lists this transfer RNA (73 nucleotides) under Percalates novemaculeata (Australian bass). RNAcentral's name for it is "tRNA-Asp". It matches the Rfam family "tRNA". From Rfam's summary of the family: Transfer RNA (tRNA) molecules are approximately 80 nucleotides in length. Their secondary structure includes four short double-helical elements and three loops (D, anti-codon, and T loops). Lineage: Eukaryota; Metazoa; Chordata; Actinopteri; Centrarchiformes. The record is from RNAcentral.